UGGAACUUCCAUGAAAUUAGAAGUUCUAAACCAUGCCCACAAGCUAAUUGCUAAAAUGUUCAAAUGAAGAACUUUUCCAAAAAUCUUGUUUCCUUAUAUUUUAUUUUUAACAUCUUUGGUUGCUCAAAUUUGACUUGAGAUACUGAUCAAGAAUAUGGUUAGUAAGGGUUAUGUUCAUUAUGUCACUAGAUAUCAUCGAAUUCUUUUCCCAGAUGUAUAGAUACUUUGUCAAGUGAACCUUUAAUCAAUUAUUUUGAGAGUUGAUGGAUGUAAUCUUUGUUACCAAUAUGAAUGUUAAUAAUUAUUAUUAUAUUUUAAUGAUGUAAAUUCUUUUUAAACCAGAGAGUUGAGGGAUAUACUCUAGAGGAAUAGACGAAUACAGAAUGCCUAGACGAAGAUGGCGGUUUUGUGCAUGCUUAGCUACUAGUUUUUCUACAUACCAUCACUACAUGCUUGUUCAUUUUAUUUAUCAGUUAUCACACUACAACAAAUUAUCAGAAGAUAUGAUAGUUAAAAUCAGAAGAUAACAACUCAACCUGACAAUGGACAUGUUAUAAAUAUACAAAUUUGAGCUUUUGCCAAAACAUGGAUUGGAUUUUUUUAUUUAUAAAAUAAUAUUCAAUUAAAAUGAUUAAUCAGAUUUUUUUCAUUUCCUAAUUUUCCCCAGAUUUCACCCUUCAUUAUUUUCCAAAUUUGCCAACAAGUUCAGUUUUUGGGAUGUUUUCUAAAUCAUUUCAUUAGCAUUCUCAAUUUCCUUCUGUAGUUUACGAUUUUAUAGAUAAAGUUUACACCUUUGCUGUAGGUUAGUUUGUAGAUAAGUGUUCACCAUUUUUGUUAUCAUUGAAUUGCAGCAAUAGUGCAUAUAGUACAUGUAUAUUUAUUUGAAUUUGUAAGGGUAUUGUUAGUUUGGGGUUCUGGAUACAAAAAAACCUAUCCCAUAAUCUGUUAAUAACAUUUUGUGGGGAACUUUGAAGAAGUUCAGUUUGAGGUAAAAAAAGUCUGAAAUUUGUAACUUGUUUUGGUAGUUGCUAUUAUUUUGAGACCAAAAUAGUAUAGUUGGCUACUUAUUGGAUAGCCUUGUAUGGGCAAAAAUGAGGGCUGGGCGCAGCCUAGUGGCAUAUUUCCAAAUGGGCUUUUGCCCAAUGCACGUUCAUUGACAAUGGACAUGUUCAUUUUAUCAUGUUAUUGAUUAACACCUGACAAAAAAUGGAAACAUUAUAAAAGGUUAACACCUGCCCAGUCAGAAUGCAGUUUUCUCUCAUCUGUUGUAUGUUAUAUGUAUUGUAGUCUAUAAAGUCUAAUUUGUUCUUUAUUGUUCAAACUAUUUAACAACUGUUUGAAGUUAAUUUAAUUUGUAUGGUUGAAUUAUUAUGCUAUGUUGAUAUUUUU
RNAcentral lists this long non-coding RNA (1389 nucleotides) under Panax ginseng (ginseng). Its description in RNAcentral is "long non-coding RNA (PGIN_LNC009270)". The record is from RNAcentral. Lineage: Eukaryota; Viridiplantae; Streptophyta; Magnoliopsida; Apiales; Araliaceae.